UCAAAGUAAGGUCAUUUCAACUGAUGUC
RNAcentral lists this non-coding RNA (28 nucleotides) under Mus musculus (house mouse). The record is from RNAcentral. Lineage: Eukaryota; Metazoa; Chordata; Mammalia; Rodentia; Muridae.